This is a non-coding RNA of Biomphalaria pfeifferi, 114 nucleotides long. Lineage: Eukaryota; Metazoa; Mollusca; Gastropoda; Planorbidae. The record is from the annotation of a GenBank genome assembly.
UAAAAAUAGUGUAAGAAUAUUUGUUAUCAGUUAUACAUUUGUGAAAUGGCUAAGCAUACAAGUUGUUUCCUUGAGUUACUCACCCUUGGUCUGACUAUUGUAUCUAAAAAUUCU